AACGCAUAUUGCGCCCUCUGGUAUUCCGGGGGGCACACCUGUCCGAGCGCCAUUUCGACCCUCAAGCAUAGCUUGGUGUUGGGCGAGGUCCUAGGGGACCCGCCUGUAACUCGUAGGCGGCCACCGCCCGUUCCCCCAGCGUAGCAGGCUAACGCAUUCGCUUGGGGAUGGGCGAGGGGCCCGCUUGGUAACCAACCCUUUUUUAAAAAGGUUGGCCUCGGAUCAGGUGGGGAUACCCGCUGAACUUAA
RNAcentral lists this unclassified non-coding RNA (249 nucleotides) under uncultured fungus. RNAcentral's name for it is "sequence contains ITS2". The record is from RNAcentral. Lineage: Eukaryota; Fungi.